Molecule: ribosomal RNA, 530 nt
Filed under: uncultured bacterium
Lineage: Bacteria
Description: bacterial SSU rRNA
Rfam family: Bacterial small subunit ribosomal RNA
Source: RNAcentral
AAUAGAUACCCCGGUAGUCCACGCCGUAAACGAUGAGUGCUAAGUGUUAGAGGGUUUCCGCCCUUUAGUGCGUGCAGCUAACGCAUUAAGCACUCCGCCUGGGGAGUACGGCCGCAAGGCUGAAACUCAAAGGAAUUGACGGGGGCCCGCACAAGCGGUGGAGCAUGUGGUUUAAUUCGAAGCAACGCGAAGAACCUUACCAGGUCUUGACAUCCUCUGCCAACCCUAGAGAUAGGGCGUUCCCCUUCGGGGGACAGAGUGACAGGUGGUGCAUGGUUGUCGUCAGCUCGUGUCGUGAGAUGUUGGGUUAAGUCCCGCAACGAGCGCAACCCUUGAUCUUAGUUGCCAGCAUUCAGUUGGGCACUCUAAGGUGACUGCCGGUGACAAACCGGAGGAAGGUGGGGAUGACGUCAAAUCAUCAUGCCCCUUAUGACCUGGGCUACACACGUGCUACAAUGGAUGGUACAAAGAGCUGCGAACCCGCGAGGGUAAGCCAAUCUCAUAAAGCCAUUCUCAGUUCGGAUUGUAGG